CUCAACACCAUAAAGGAUUUCUUCCUUCUGCCACGGCCUGAAAUCAUUAUGACCAACGCUUCCUAAUGAUAUCCUUGGGUGUCUCCACUUAAGCCACAAAGACUUCUCUCAAAUGUGCCAAAUCAAAGGGCCUACUGCUUACAGUGCUGACUAAGCUGUUUAAUUCUUUGGCAAUGUUCCUCUGAGACCCAGCAACAGAUUCCCAGUAAGAACCAACCAUCUAUCUGAUUUUCUGAGUUUACCUGAUUUUUAUGAAUGUUUCACCAUCCAGGAUAUUUUACCACAGAACCAGCUCACAGCAGCACAUAAGCUAAUGAAGAAACGGUGAUUCUCAA
Long non-coding RNA from Vombatus ursinus (common wombat), 335 nucleotides. RefSeq lists it as uncharacterized. NCBI's taxonomy places the organism in Eukaryota, Metazoa, Chordata, Mammalia, Diprotodontia, Vombatidae. The transcript has 3 exons. The record is from RefSeq and is a predicted model, not a curated record.